GGGUCCGGACACACUGAGGAUUGACAGAUAUACGCUCAUUGCAGUUCGCUGCAUGAGCUGAAAGAUGCUAGUUCUUUCAUGAUUAUGUGAUAGGUGGUGCAUGGCCGUUCUUAGUUCGUGGAGUGAUCUGUCUGCUUAAUUGCGUAUCAAUAAUAGAGACCUAGUAUACGCGUGGAUUUCGCGUGGUAGUGACCCCCUGUUUAACGACAGGCGUGUGUCGCACACGCGUACCUACGCACUGGUCUCAGAUAGCAACGAACGUGACCGUAUUCUAUUGUUGCAGUGAAAUGUGCCUUCGGGUACGACCCACUGCUUAGUAUAUGUACGUGCUUCGGCGCGAACAAUAUACAUUAAACUAUAGAGACCGCUGUUUCUUCUUUAAACCAGAGGAAGGAUACGGCAAUAACAGGUCUGUGAUGCCCUCAGAUGUUCCGGGCUGCACACGUGCUACAAUGAUCAUUGCACUGUGCAUCUAACCCAAUGUGCGCGGACGCCGCAUGCAUGUGCCUUCGGGUACACGCAUUGCUGAGCGACCGCGCCGAACCUACUUCGAAAGUAAAAUUUCUCAGUGGGU
RNAcentral lists this ribosomal RNA (574 nucleotides) under Ammonia sp. genotype T2. RNAcentral describes it as "bacterial SSU rRNA". The stretch from base 1 to 451 matches the Rfam family "Eukaryotic small subunit ribosomal RNA", at positions 1220 to 1501 of the family's 1831-position model. Lineage: Eukaryota; Foraminifera; Rotaliida; Rotaliidae. The record is from RNAcentral.